UACGUAGGGGGCAAGCGUUGUCCGGAUUUAUUGGGCGUAAAGAGCGUGUAGGCGGCUAGAUAGGUCCGUUGUGAAAACUCGAGCUCAACCUCGAGACGCCGGUGGAAACCAUCUAGCUAGAGUCCGGAAGAGGAGAGUGGAAUUCCUGGUGUAGCGGUGAAAUGCGCAGAUAUCAGGAGGAACACCAACGGCGAAGGCAGCUCUCUGGGACGGUACUGACGCUGAGACGCGAAAGCGUGGGGAGCGAACAGG
Molecule: ribosomal RNA, 252 nt
Filed under: uncultured bacterium
Lineage: Bacteria
Description: partial 16S ribosomal RNA
Rfam family: Bacterial small subunit ribosomal RNA
Source: RNAcentral